GUCUACAGCUUUACCACCCUGAAUGCACCUGGGAAGCUAAGCAGGGUUGGACCUGGUUGCUACUUGAAUGCGAGACAAAAAGAACGAUCUUAUUAGUUGUAGUGG
Molecule: ribosomal RNA, 105 nt
Filed under: Carlito syrichta (Philippine tarsier)
Lineage: Eukaryota; Metazoa; Chordata; Mammalia; Primates; Tarsiidae
Source: RNAcentral